UGACCCUGAAACCCAGAGCAGGUGAGGCCUGUCUGACUGUUUCUGGGCGACCCAAUCUUGGUUUCCAUGGUUG
This is a non-coding RNA of Bos taurus (domestic cattle), 73 nucleotides long. Lineage: Eukaryota; Metazoa; Chordata; Mammalia; Artiodactyla; Bovidae. The record is from Rfam.